UUAUGAGUCCAACUGGAGAGAGAGAGAGAGAGAGGGGAAGGGGAGCGACGCAUUAUUGCAGUAUAGUGCCAUCACACACACACAAACGAAACUAGUGCACAAACCGACACACAGAUACGCUUCCACACACUCACCGGGAGAGGGGGAACAACGGUGGUGUUAGAUAAUUCUGAAACUAGACCACGGGAAAAUAGUGAAAUUAUAUAAUUGGGUAAUGUAAAGGAAAGUGAAAUCAGUUGUGUUUAGCUUUUGAAGGGGAACGUGCAAUCUAAACAAUUGGUGUGAUUUUGAGCAUCUCGACUCAGCAUCUUUGGAGUAUCACGACUUCUCUUGCAUAGAUUUAUUAUUUAAAGAAAUUCGCCAAGCAUCCUUGGAUUUAUCCCUUAUGGAUUUUACGAACUGAAAUUGAGAAUCUGUGCAUCACCCGUAUUCACUUUCAACCUCUUAUACCGCUGCCUUUCUUCGAGCGAAUUAUUACCCGACGCUUGCCUGGGUAUUGCGGUACUCUGGUGAUGACUUGCGGUGCUAAAGCAUUGCUUUGAGGUUACUGCAUCAGCUUCUGCAUUCGUUUGUUAUUAACGCAUCAUUUUAAUCAGUCGAGUCUCUGAGGUUCUGGAUAUCUUUGGACGACAGCAGAGGUUUUUCCCAUUGCUUUUUUUGUGAUUUCGCUUUUUUCUUUUUUACUUCAGACCCUUCCCCCUUUCGUCUCUCGCGCUCUCUCUCUCGCCCCCCCACCGCUCACUGACAGUGAGUCAGUUCCAAGCAGCUGCAUAGAAGAUGUCUGCCCCAGAUGCUGCUCCCCCAGCUGGACCUCCCGGAGCCCCAGGGGCCCCAGGACCAGACGGAGCCCCAGGUGGAGGGCCCCCACCCCCUCCUCCCAACACCUCCAGCAACCGCAGGCUACAACAGACACAAGCCCAAGUGGAGGAGGUGGUGGAUAUUAUGCGGGUGAAUGUGGACAAGGUUCUGGAGAGGGACCAGAAGCUGUCGGAGCUGGAUGACAGAGCGGAUGCUCUCCAGGCCGGGGCCUCCCAGUUCGAGAGCUGUGCAGCCAAACUCAAGAGCAAAUACUGGUGGAAGAACGCAAAGGUAAUGACAGUGAUCAAUGAUUAUAUUGUCAUUCACAUUAGCAGACACUUUCAUCCAAAAGGACUUAAAAUUAUCACAUUCAGGAGAAUUGCAAGGUAAUGGUAAUAUUGAUCAUGAUAAUAAUAUGGUUAUUUAGCCAACUCUUUCUAUCCAAAGUGACAGUGUACUGUCAUAUAUUCAAGUUAACAUAUAUAUCCAGUGUACUGUAUGUGGCCCAUGGGGGAAUCAUUCAGAGCCACAACUGUGGUGGUGUUGCAACACCAGUACCAUGCUCCACCAACCAGUACCAUGCUCCACCAACCAGUACCAUACUCCACCAACCAGUACCAUGCUCCACCAACCAGUACCAUGCUCCACCAACCAGUACCAUGCUCCACCAACCAGUACCAUGCUCCACCAACCAGUACCAUGCUCUACCAAACCAGUACCAUGCUCCACCAACCAGUAUCACGCUCCACCAACCAGUACCACGCUCCACCAACCAGUACCACGCUCCACCAACCAGCACCACCCUCCACCAACCAGUACCAUGCUCCACCAACCAGUAGCAUGCUCCACCAACCAGUAGCAUGCUCCACCAACCAGUAGCAUGCUCAACCAACCAGUACCAUGCUCAACCAACCAGUACCAUGCUCAACCAACCAGUACCAUGCUCAACCAACCAGUACCACGCUCCACCAUCCAAUUGAGGUGCAGGGUGCUGAGGCGAACACACAGCAUCUGUCCCUGGAACGCUGUCACCCCCCUUUCCCGCGCACUAAUCCCCUAAUUAGCGUCUGUGGGCGAGAGGAGCGGCGCUCCGGGGAAUGGGGAAUAGGGAGGCUCUCACUGCAGAGUUUUCUCUACAUGCAGUUAUUCUUAUUAAUUGCAUAGCAAUAGCACCAAAAAUACACUGACUGGACACAAGGGAGUGUGAUGAAAUGUUACGCUCUGCUUUUUGUGUUUUUCAUCAUGCUGGGUUGGUGUGUGUGUGUGUGUGUUUUUGGUCAGCAGGACUAACGUUAAUCCGCAGAGACUUCAUCCCUGAAUAAAAAAACACAUGUUUAAUCACCCGAGGAAAAUCUAUCAGGUUUAUUAACUAGAAGAAUAGAAGAAUAAAGAAAGCCUUUAACUCCCCAUUUGCUUUUCUUUCCAGAUGAUGAUCAUUAUGGGUAUCAUUGGAGUUCUUGUGGUCGGAGUCCUUUUCUUGUACUUCUUCUAUUGAGUAAUCCCACCGUGGCAGGACACAGACAUGAGAGCGGAAUAGGAGAGAAGAAGAAAACAAAAUCGACACAAAUCCAAACUCCUGUCCCGCCCCCUUUUCCUCCACACCAGGUCUUCCAUCUAGCACUUAAACAUGACGCUAGUGUGUAGAUGUUGUUGCUCUCUUUUCUCUUUGUCCUCCUGCCCUUCCCUUCUCUUUGAUCCAUAUUUCUUCCUCUGUUUUGGUGUGCUGUCUCACUCACUCUCUCCUGCCUCUGCGUCUCAUACAUUAUUGAAGUGUGCAGUAGGGAAAGAGAGAGAGAGAGAGAGAAAGCAGGAAGAAGUGAAAGAGAGAGCAUGGAGAAAGAGAGAGUGAGUGCAAUGAAAGAGCGCAGCAGUUCUUUCUAUCCGCCAAAGCUUGUUCGUGUUACCUUUUGGAGAGCAUACCACAUUUGUAAAUUGAUACUGACAUACAGUACCUAACAACCCCUCCUGAUCCCCUACCUCAUACCACUACCAUUAUAAACACUACUUACUAAUACAAGGUCAUGUUUAAGAGUAUGAUCAUUUUGUCAUGUGUGUGUGUGUACUUGUGAUCCAAAUCAGUGUAGCCAGUAGCUUUUUCCAGGUUUAGUUGAUGUAGGCCUUGACGGGCAUUCCUGCCUUUUCCUUUACCUCCCUCUUUCUCUCACUCGCUGACUGUGGUGUUUAAGAGAGAGAUAGAGAGAGAAUAAGAAAAGCCAGGAAGGAUACUGGAAAAGGCAGAAACCACUUUUGGGACACUGACUUUUAGUAUAUCUUUAUUCUUGUACCACAGACAGACAGACGGACAGUUAGCUAGAUUGACAUUGACAGACAGAAACAGACAAUCUGUACCUACAUAAAGUAUUCUUUCAGGAGUGCAGACAAAAGUCUAUACAGCAUUAACUCUGGACACACCUAAAGGCAGGUCUGUGUAAUAACACUGCAUAGUACAUUUUUGAUUGAUUAGUGAGCAGCUUUACUGUGUUGUGGUUGUGUUCAGACACUCUUGUACGUUCUAGUAGAGAGGGUACAGGGUUAGGGAGGAAUGGUUCAAUAGACUGUCCCCUAUCUGGAGAGGACAUAACCAAAUAACCCCCCAAAUAACCCACUUCCUGCACAUCAAACCAACAAAAACACACAGUUAUCUACAGUAGACUUUAGGCUGUUACCUACAAUAGCCUAUAGGCCCAAAUGGAAGUAGUGUUUGUGUCUUACUUGACUUGCAUGGCAGACGAUGUCCAUAGUUUUGCCUAUUUGUGUGACCUAUGUAUCUGCCAUUUCUGAAACUGCCGAUUGUACAUUUAUUUUAUUUGGUUUAGUGGUUUUCAGGACCUGUGUAUAGGCUACUGUAUCUAUGCGCUCAAUUAGUAACUCAUGCGUAUGCAAUGCAAUGAAGCUCAAGAGUUUGCCAAAUUUUUGUUGCCAGAGAACAAUGGUUGCUACAGUAGUAUUCUGACGGGGAAAAAACGAAAACCAUAGUACCGUACAAGUAGUACCAUAAAGUACUUCAUCUUUGCCAGACUAUUGCUCCUGAAAAUAUGUUUUUUAGUAGGUUUAUAUUUUACUCUUGGUGUUGGAUAUUCGAGAAAAUAUAAUUUUCCUCUCAAUGGUUGAUAAAGAGGGACUGUUUGACACAUUGUAAAAAAAAGAAAAGAAAAAUAGCUAUGUGUAAAUUGCAUUUAUGAAUGAAAAUAGUGGUGAUUCCUCAAAACAAUGAUCUAAUAAUAUUGUGCAAUAAUAUUAUUAGGUAAAUAAAUUAUACAACAUGAUAAUACUGGGAGAGAUACAACUGGAUCAUGAGAAUUCUUUAAACGCAUGCUUACCACUUGAUGCUAAUAAACAAAAUCAUCAACA
Molecule: RNA transcript, 4149 nt
Organism: Oncorhynchus kisutch (coho salmon)
Lineage: Eukaryota; Metazoa; Chordata; Actinopteri; Salmoniformes; Salmonidae
Gene name: vesicle-associated membrane protein 1-like
Exons: 4
Source: RefSeq, a predicted model, not a curated record